Folsomia candida is the source of this 407-nucleotide long non-coding RNA. RefSeq lists it as uncharacterized. The record is from RefSeq and is a predicted model, not a curated record. NCBI's taxonomy places the organism in Eukaryota, Metazoa, Arthropoda, Collembola, Entomobryomorpha, Isotomidae. The transcript has 3 exons.
UACGUGCGACCAAGGAUGUAAAGAUUGCUACACAGCGGAUACUAGCCAAGUUGCUGACAGAUAAGUAUGCAUCGUCAUACAACUGGAUUGGUUCAAGAGGACCGAAGUCACCUUUUUCAAAAUCAUGGAUGAAGCACAUUAUAUAUGAGGCAAUUCAAGGACUGGAAAACUUGGGCAACGCUGACGACGACGAGAUUUGGGAAGCAAUUAAAAAUUGGCUCAAAAAUUCCAACAAGCGUAUUGAAUCGGAUAGGAAAAAGUUGGAGAAGUCCAAUGCAGCUCUUCCAUUAAGAAAUACUGGACCAGAAUCAGACAAUUGAUUUUUUUCACAAUUUUUUAUUGUUAUUUGGAUUUAAAACUUUAUGUAAUGUUAAUGGUCAGUAAUAAAUCAUAAUUCCCGCAUCUAA